GGCUUAACACAUGCAAGUCGAGGGGCAGCAUGGUCUUAGCUUGCUAAGGCCGAUGGCGACCGGCGCACGGGUGAGUAACACGUAUCCAACCUGCCGUCUACUCUUGGACAGCCUUCUGAAAGGAAGAUUAAUACAAGAUGGCAUCAUGAGUCCGCAUGUUCACAUGAUUAAAGGUAUUCCGGUAGACGAUGGGGAUGCGUUCCAUUAGAUAGUAGGCGGGGUAACGGCCCACCUAGUCUUCGAUGGAUAGGGGUUCUGAGAGGAAGGUCCCCCACAUUGGAACUGAGACACGGUCCAAACUCCUACGGGAGGCAGCAGUGAGGAAUAUUGGUCAAUGGGCGAGAGCCUGAACCAGCCAAGUAGCGUGAAGGAUGACUGCCCUAUGGGUUGUAAACUUCUUUUAUAAAGGAAUAAAGUCGGGUAUGGAUACCCGUUUGCAUGUACUUUAUGAAUAAGGAUCGGCUAACUCCGUGCCAGCAGCCGCGGUAAUACGGAGGAUCCGAGCGUUAUCCGGAUUUAUUGGGUUUAAAGGGAGCGUAGAUGGAUGUUUAAGUCAGUUGUGAAAGUUUGCGGCUCAACCGUAAAAUUGCAGUUGAUACUGGAUAUCUUGAGUGCAGUUGAGGCAGGCGGAAUUCGUGGUGUAGCGGUGAAAUGCUUAGAUAUCACGAAGAACUCCGAUUGCGAAGGCAGCCUGCUAAGCUGCAACUGACAUUGAGGCUCGAAAGUGUGGGUAUCAAACAGGAUUAGAUACCCUGGUAGUCCACACGGUAAACGAUGAAUACUCGCUGUUUGCGAUAUACUGCAAGCGGCCAAGCGAAAGCGUUAAGUAUUCCACCUGGGGAGUACGCCGGCAACGGUGAAACUCAAAGGAAUUGACGGGGGCCCGCACAAGCGGAGGAACAUGUGGUUUAAUUCGAUGAUACGCGAGGAACCUUACCCGGGCUUAAAUUGCAGAUGAAUUACGGUGAAAGCCGUAAGCCGCAAGGCAUCUGUGAAGGUGCUGCAUGGUUGUCGUCAGCUCGUGCCGUGAGGUGUCGGCUUAAGUGCCAUAACGAGCGCAACCCUUGUUGUCAGUUACUAACAGGUUCCGCUGAGGACUCUGACAAGACUGCCAUCGUAAGAUGUGAGGAAGGUGGGGAUGACGUCAAAUCAGCACGGCCCUUACGUCCGGGGCUACACACGUGUUACAAUGGGGGGUACAGAGGGCCGCUACCACGCGAGUGGAUGCCAAUCCCAAAAACCUCUCUCAGUUCGGACUGGAGUCUGCAACCCGACUCCACGAAGCUGGAUUCGCUAGUAAUCGCGCAUCAGCCACGGCGCGGUGAAUACGUUCCCGGGCCUUGUACACACCGCCCGUCAAGCCAUGGGAGCCGGGGGUACCUGAAGUGCGUAACCGCGAGGAGCGCCCUAGGGUAAAACUGGUGACUGGGGCU
Molecule: ribosomal RNA, 1433 nt
Filed under: uncultured organism
Description: SSU rRNA
Rfam family: Bacterial small subunit ribosomal RNA
Source: RNAcentral